UGAGGAAUAUUGGUCAAUGGGCGCAAGCCUGAACCAGCCAUCCCGCGUGCAGGAAGACGGCGCUAUGCGUUGUAAACUGCUUUUCCAGGGGGAGAAACUUGCGCACGUGUUGCGCAAUUGACGGUACCCUGGGAAUAAGCAUCGGCUAACUCCGUGCCAGCAGCCGCGGUAAUACGGAGGAUGCGAGCGUUAUCCGGAUUCAUUGGGUUUAAAGGGUGCGUAGGCGGAAUAUUAAGUCAGUGGUGAAACCCUGCAGCUUAACUGCAGAACUGCCAUUGAUACUGAUAGCCUUGAGUUUGGUUAAGGUAGGCGGAAUGUGUAAUGUAGCGGUGAAAUGCUUAGAUAUUACACAGAACACCAAUUGCGUAGGCAGCUUACUGAGCCGACACUGACGCUGAGGCACGAAAGCGUGGGGAUCGAACAG
This 424-nucleotide ribosomal RNA is filed under the name uncultured bacterium. RNAcentral's name for it is "bacterial SSU rRNA". It matches the Rfam family "Bacterial small subunit ribosomal RNA", at positions 355 to 775 of the family's 1533-position model. The record is from RNAcentral.